UGUUUAGUGCUAACUGACCCCCUCUGCC
RNAcentral lists this non-coding RNA (28 nucleotides) under Homo sapiens (human). Lineage: Eukaryota; Metazoa; Chordata; Mammalia; Primates; Hominidae. The record is from RNAcentral.